AUGAUCCUUUCGAUUGCCGGAGCUGCACCAGCGGGCAAAGUCGGUGAUGCCGCAAUCCCCGGCCAACAAAAAGUUGAGACUCUAGAACUCUCCUCCCCUGAAGGUGAGGCCGCCUCCGGUGUACGACUUGUGCUGAAACCUGAGGGAGUGCAGGGCACCAGUUUACCGAGGAUGCGCAAGUCAUUGCUGUCAGGUAAGUCAUGCUCAGGGUUAUCUUUGAAAGUUGAUGGAGCUUUUGGACGUGUGAAAGUCCACUUGGGCAACGAAGCGAAGAACCAAGAGUGGUGGUCCAGUAUGUCAAAGCCAAGUACCGCACACCGGAAGGCUUUGGCUUCCCUCACCAUGCUUGUUUGUUGGGUUCUUUGGAACAAGAGAAAUGCUAGGAUGUUUAGCCUCUGA
This 399-nucleotide ribosomal RNA is filed under the name Triticum aestivum (bread wheat). Its description in RNAcentral is "partial small subunit ribosomal RNA". The record is from RNAcentral. Lineage: Eukaryota; Viridiplantae; Streptophyta; Magnoliopsida; Poales; Poaceae.